Molecule: long non-coding RNA, 337 nt
Filed under: Prunus dulcis (almond)
Lineage: Eukaryota; Viridiplantae; Streptophyta; Magnoliopsida; Rosales; Rosaceae
Description: sRNA ncRNA
Source: RNAcentral
AUGGAGAGGAAGUUGUUUGGUCUUGUUUUGAUCUUGGUCAUCCUUCUAACUUCUCGUAAGUACUCUCUCUCUCCUCUCUCCUCUUUGUAACAAUAAUUGAUAAAUGAAUUAAUUAAUAUUUGUGGUUAAUAUCGCAGAAGAGAUGGUGAUGCAGAGUGAAGCUAAGAUUUGUGAAGUGACAAGCAAAACAUUCAUAGGGCUAUGCAUCAAAGACAGAAACUGUAUGGUGAGAUGCCACAGUGAGGGUUAUGGUUAUGGCAAAUGCUCCCAUAUCCUACGCAAGUGCCGCUGCCUUAAGCCUUGCGUGGCUGAAGAAACUAAGGAAAACUUGCCAUAA